GAGAUAAGGAAAGUCUUCCUUCAGCAAGUGACACUUCACAUGAGCUCUGAGGCAGAGGUAGGUAUUAGCUAAUCAAAGGGGAAGGGCCAAAACACCACCCGCCAUGGGAGAGAAGAGUGUAUCUAAAGAACUGAAUGAAAGACCCUCUACCUGGGGUGGCGAUGGCCUGGGCCAAAGCGGCCAGAGAGGAGGCUGAAGUGACAGACAAGGGCUAAACUGGCUGGGUUUGCCAGUCUUAAGAGCAAUGUGAAAUCAACCACAUGUAUUUUUUUUUAACUUUUGUUUUUGUUUUUUAGAGGAAGAGAGUGCAAGCAAAUGGGGGAGAGUGCCAGAGGGAGAAAGAGACAGAAUCUUAAGCAGGCUCCAUACUCAGCACAGAGCUCAACAUGGGGCUCGAUACCAUGAUCGGGGAUCAUGAGCUGAGCCAAAAUCAAGAGUCAGAUGUUCAAUUGCCUGAGCCACCCACGCGCCCCAAGUGCAUGGUUUUUGGUAAAGAAAUGUCAUGUUCAGAUAUUUAAAAGACUUCUCUGACUGCACUGUGGGUUUAAUCAGAGUGUAACAAAAUAUAGUAUUGAUCUAUUACAGGAAUCCAAGGGAGGGUUUGUUGUAUGGACAUAGAAACAGGUAAAUUUAUGAGAUAUCUAGGAAGUGAUAUUAAUAGGAUUGGUGAUGGCCUAUUGGUAACGAUUUGAAAAUUGGGCACAUGGAAGUAGAAAAUGUAAAGCAGUAUUCUCAUAUUUCUGGCUUGUAGAGCAGAAGAUUAUCUAUCUCUCCAUCUAUCAUCUUUCUAUCUAAAAUUUCUGGCUUGUAUAGUACAUGUAUAUAUAUGUGUGUAUAUAUUGUAAAUAUACAUAUAUACACAAUCUGAAGUAUCUGGAGUGAGUCUGAUUCUUGGCUCAUUUGCUUUGAGGGGUGGGGAAUAAACUUGGGGCAAUGAUCAUAAGUUCAUUCUUGGACCUGUAGAGAUGGAGAAGCCUGACACAUUUAUGUGAAGAUGUUAAGUGAAAACAGACAUGGGGGUGAGGAAUGAGAACCAGUUUGGUGAUGAAAUGCAUAAUAAAUACAGGGGUCACUGGUCCAUGGAUUGGAAAUGAAGCCAGAGCUGUGGGGAAAUCACAGAGAGAGAAGAGAAGAGCCUGAGACCAUGCACUGAAGGACUCAGCAGCUAAGGUACGGGUUCCCCUGGAGUGCGGUUGUACAGCAAGCUGCACUUAGCAAGAAUUCACUAGAGGUUUUCGCACUUAAAAGCAAACAAACCAAAACCGAUGGAGAAGGAGAGCACCCUUUCAGUCCCUCUCACAUUUUACUAGCUUACUCUAAAAUAGUGAAGAUAAACAGAAAACGUUCCAAGUUGGAUUGUAACGUCUGACUAAACUCCUCUGGUUCUGAUAAUGUUGGCUUUUAGGUAUUUGGUCUGGUGAUGCAAAUAAGGUAAAAGAUUUCUCAUUUGUAAAAUGACUUUCUGGUGCUAUUUUGUGCCUUUUUCAGUGCUUAGCAAACUCUGCUUUAUAUUUAAAUUACUUGGCUGGGAAUCUGUCCACCCCUUAAGCCUGGGAAAUUUGGCAGAGGAGGCCCACGUUUCAUUCACCUUUAUGUUCACAAUGCUGGGGUGGUGUCUCCAUGAGAGUAAUUGCUUCUGUCUCUUAUCAAUAUUUGUUUUUUUUAAGGUGUGUUUCAAUUUCUGUUAUAAAAAAAAAGUGUGUCUAUAUAUAUUCAUAUAUAUGUAUAUGUAUGAACAGUUCAUAUAUUUUUUUUUUUUGCCUGAAUACAAGUUGGCAAAACUUUAAAUGGAAACUCUCGUUUUUAUUAUUUGGCUUAAAAGUAAUCGGGUACAUUAAUAAGCUACCGGUGCACUUCGCAUGUUUCACCAGAUGGUCCCUAAUUUUUUGUUCCUUAAUAUAAAAAUGCACUUCUAAAACUAAACCACUGGGGGGAAGCAUAGUGCAAAGUUAGCAUUUAGUUCAUCCUGGUGCCCAGUGUAGACUUAGCCAAGCCUCUGGGUCAAAGACUUGUGCUAAGCUCUUAGUGUUAGCAGAGCCUUUGUCUGUCUGUCAGUUGUCUUCCCUUUGUCAAAUUCUUCCCACUUCCUCUUUUUUCCAGGGUGCUUUGUGGGUUAAAACUUUUAUUUUGAAACUUCUAGAAGCUUAAUUAAUAAACAUGAAAACCAAGUCAAAGCUGGCACGAUGCCCUUAUUUUGCUCAACCACAUGGGCAUGCUAGGGUAAUUGUAGUUAUUUACAUUUGGCAUCCAACUGACUCAACGAGCAACAUUGCCUUUUUUUUCUACCAGUACCGAAGCUAUUAAAUUAAACAGGUUAAUGUGGCUACCGCAUUUCGCCCCCUACUAUCCCCACAGCUACAGUAAAUCUGCCACCUGUUUAUUUCCAUAAAAAUUCAAUUAGGCGCCGCCAGUUAUUCUUCUUAUGCGAGCAAUUAACCUCAGGCAGUUUCAGGUCCCAAAGAAAGGCCAGGCUGGCCUGUUCCUUUUUUCACUCUUUGCUCCCUUUAGCCGCCGGUGGUUUCUUUUGCUAAGUGACUGCACACCCUCACACCAGUGAAAAAUGAAAGAAUAGACUCGACUGCUGUGCACUGUCAUGCCGGUUGAAAAGCAAAAACUGAAAGAUCGCCAACAACCCUUCCGCCUCCCCCUGCCUGGGCAGCGGGGGCACCUUGGGGCCCCGGGGACGACAGCAGUGAGCCUGCGGCCAGGGCCCCGGGGACACCCCAGCGUUGCAGAAAAACACACCAAAAGGAAGGAGAACUUGCUCUAAAAACUGUUUGUUUUCUUUCUUCUUUGUCUUUGUUAAAAUCUGACCGUGUAGGGAAAGGUUGGUAAAAUGCCACGGCAUCCUGGCUAAAGCAACAACACGAUUAUGACGAGAUAAAGCCACAUUCAUGGGCGCUUCUCCACACUAUGGAUGGGACCAAACGCAUAGCAAUGCAGUCGCUUUUCCUUUCCUCUUUAAGAGGCAUGUGUCUUCAGUACACGUUGAAAAUGCUGACUUUCUUUUCUUUUUAUGUCUGCUUCUCUUUGUCGUAUUUCUUUCCCUUCUCUCAAAAGUCUACCAGUACAAAGAAAAAUUACCGAAUCUUACACCUAGAGAUUUCCUACAGGAUCUCGUGGAUACCGGGGAUUGAGGUAUGGGCUUCUCGUUAAUCUUUAGCACAUUGACAUGUGCUUGAAGAAAUAAUAGCAAAUGCCUAAAUGUAGUCUCAAGAGCAAAUUAAGACUGGAAUGAUCAUUAAUUAAAUCACUCGUGGGUUUUCGGAUAAAACGAAUGUUUCUUCAUAAGUGGGUGGGUGCUCACUACCAAUGUGUAGUGAUUAUCAACAAAUUCAGCGAAUGAGGGAACAUAGAAACAAAGAAACGAAUAGGGUGUGAGAUGAUAGAACCCAAGGUGACACGUGGAGAGCUCAGGUUAUUCCUGGGCGUUGUCACAAGUCCCGGUGGAUCCUGGAGUCACAUUUGCUCAGGUGCGUUGCUGGGCUGGCACAGAUGUCAGAUGUCAGGCAUCCCCAAAAUGCUCCCAAGGGAUUAAGUGUGUGUGUGUGUGUGUGUGUGUGUGUGUGUGUAUAACUAUAUCUUUCCUUUCCUCCUGCAUCUGAAGGUGCCCUGUGCCAGCCAGCAUUAGUACACUGCUGGGGUAGAAGAAUGUAAUAAAGUGGACUUUGAAGGCAGCAUGUCACAGGAAAAAGAUACAGUCUAAUUAAAUUUAAUCUUCUUUUAAAUGGUUACUCAAAAGAGAGACUCUAUUAGAAGUUCAAAAGUGCAUGUAUAAAUCCUCCCCAGGCAAGUCGGUACCCAGGGCUAACACAGCAGGUGGAAGAGUGAAGGAAAUGUUAGAACCCGUGUUUCAUCUUGAUAGGGCUGACGGAACUUUAAUGAAGAAAGACCAAUAUUCUGUGGCCCUGAAACCACAUCCUCUGCUGUCAAAUGGGUUCAAGUUCAUGGUCUUGAAAAUUGUCCUUUUCCUGUCUUCAAAUGUUCUCAUGAGUCCUUUUCUUUUCAGUUCAAAGUAGAAAUUAAAAUGGUUUUAAGUGUUUAUUCUUCAUCCUAGAUUUUGGGCAGAUGCCUAAUUUCCACUGCUUCCUUACCUCCUGAAGAGUUUCAGGCUUUUUGCUUCUGCCAAAAUGAAGCAAACAUACAGCUUGGUACUUUGAAGUCUGAGUUAAAGCAAAACUAAAUGGACCAUGUUUAUCUGAUCAAUUAAAGCAUUGCCUACAUCCUUAGAACUGAUGUUUCUCAUUUAGACAACAUUCUAUACAAUCCUCAGGAAAUUAACAACAGAGAUUGAGUUUGGGGAAUGGGGGUCGUUAUAUAAAGAAAUGCAGGAAGAGUGUGGAAGAAUUUGACCAGGCUCCAGUAUAAGCUACAUAAACUGACUGGGCUCCAAUAUAAACUAAAGAAUGUCUUAGUAGAAGAGGGACUAUAGAAAAAUGUUAAUGACGGUUCCCCGAGUAAAAGUUUGACUUCAAACUCCUGUUAUGUGAAGUGAUCUAGUAUACUUAAUAGUCUUUGGCAUUAUUGAUGUGUAUACUUUAAGAAUAGUUAUAAUUAUAAAAGCUCUCAGAGAUUAGAAUGUGUACAGUUCAGUUUAAGCAUAGAUCAACAAGGUGUGCUCUAAAAGCAGAACCAUGCUAAAAAAAUAAAAAAAAUAAAAAAAAUAAAAAAAAAAGAAAAAGGGGCGCCUGGGUGGCGCAGUCGGUUAAGCGUCCGACUUCAGCCAGGUCACGAUCUCGCGGUCCGUGAGUUCGAGCCCCGCGUCAGGCUCUGGGCUGAUGGCUCGGAGCCUGGAGCCUGUUUCCGAUUCUGUGUCUCCCUCUCUCUGCCCCUCCCCCGUUCAUGCUCUGUCUCUCUCUGUCCCAAAAAUAAAUAAAAAACGUUGAAAAAAAAAAUUUAAAAGCAGAACCAUGCUAAGCAGAGCAUUAGAUUUAGAAAAAUAAAAAGAGCAUGAAUUACAACUCUCUUAGAAGUAUAUAGGUUUUUUUUCUAAAUCACACAGAUUAGCACCAAUUAAUUAAAAUGAUAUGAAAUAGUAGGUACUUGAACCUGCAGGCUGUCCCCAGUCAAUACCCUGUUUCAUUCUUCUCAGCAAUAGUGUGAAGCGGGGCGCCUGGGUGGCUCAGUUGGUUGGACGUCCGACUUCUUUGGCUCAGGUCAUGAUCUCGUGGCUCGUGAGUUCAAGCCCCGCGUCAGGCUCUGUGCUGACAGCUCAGAGCCUGGAGCCUUCUUAGGAUUCUGUGUCUCCCUCUCUCUCUCUGCCCCUCCCCUGCUCAUGGUCUGCCUCUGUCUCAAAAAUAAAUAAAACAUUAAAAAAAAAAAAAAGAAAUAGUGUGAAGUAAAACUUGUUUGGCUUCCUUUCCAGCUUGCCCAGGACCUGUGCACAUGACCUGUUCCAGAAAGACAGCAAUCUCCCUUUCCUCAAAAACCCUGCUAGAUUCGUUGUCUUUGGCUGGAAAUGUUUCAACCUGCCAUGAAUCUCUUGAAGGUGAAGAUUCUUCUUGUCUUAUCAACAGAUGAUAACAUUUGGUCUGUUUCAUGUUUGGAAAGAUGUGGGUCUUGGACCUAAAGUUCCCGGUUUGGUAAGUGCUGUGUGCCGAGGGGAAAAAAAAAAAAAAAAAAAAAAAAAAAAAAAAAAAAAAAAAAAAAAAACAACAGCAAAAAAGAAA
Long non-coding RNA from Panthera uncia (snow leopard), 5669 nucleotides. RefSeq lists it as uncharacterized. The transcript is spliced from 2 exons. Lineage: Eukaryota; Metazoa; Chordata; Mammalia; Carnivora; Felidae. The record is from RefSeq and is a predicted model, not a curated record.